Long non-coding RNA from Callithrix jacchus (white-tufted-ear marmoset), 639 nucleotides. RefSeq lists it as uncharacterized. The record is from RefSeq and is a predicted model, not a curated record. NCBI's taxonomy places the organism in Eukaryota, Metazoa, Chordata, Mammalia, Primates, Cebidae.
GUGAACUGGCUGUCAAAACUCCUGCAAAUGUAACAACCCAGGACAAUCCAAUCUGUGGGUGGCAUCUCCCUGGAGCCUGGGUCCUCUCUCUGAGCUGGCUUACCUGUCCGUCUGGAACCUGGUUAGGCCAUGGAUGAAACUCAGCUUCGAUGCCCAUUGCAGAGGGAAGUAAAGGAUGCUUGCACUGAGUGACUGCUAGUGCGGGAGUUUUACAAAGCACUGCAGUGACCUCAUGUGAGACUCAAGUCUAAAGUGCAGUGGGCAAGCCCACACAGCAAGCAGCUUCUAGAGCCAGCCUCAGGCCACCCAGCCUUGAGAGCCUCUGGGAGGAGGUUUUCUAGCAGGCUUGGUGGUGGACCGGUUGGGCCAUCUUCCAGGAGCGGGUCACUGGCUCUAUGGGUGUCGAGAGGAAAGGCGAGGUCUAUUUUUUGGCCAGGAUGAAUCCAGCAGGUGUGUUCUGUGACUGCGUGGCUUCUGGCAUCACCACAGCAGUCACGAUGCUGAAGGCUGCGGCAUUGUGAGGACCCCUGGGCUGCUCUUUGCAAUUGCAGUGACCUUCUUCCUCCUCCUAAGCUGUCUCCACGUCUCCAAGUCUGUUAUUUCAAGAAUCGUAUAUAAAUGGAAUCAUACACCUUGUAA